UUAGGAUGUUAUAUGAUUUUUUUAAAAUUUAUUUCUUGGAUUCUAUUAAAAAUAUACAUAGUAUUUUAUUUAUUUUUUGAAAGAAAUUGUUAAACAGCAAAAAAAAAAUAAUAAUAAUAACAUAGGUAGAUAGUAUAAUACAAAUACACGAAGUGAACAAAUCAAUUAUACUUUUAUGAUAAAGUAUGCAAAUGUGGGAGUAUAUUUGGGGAUAAUAUAUUGGGACGUUUCGAUUUGGUUUGUAGCUGUACCGAGUGCUGUACCGUCAAACGGAUCGCUUACUCGCAAGAAUAUUACAAAUUAAACUAAUUUUAAUAAUAAUAAUGAUAAUAAUAAUAAAUAAAAUCAGGCAAGCGCCGUUCAUUAAUAAAGAACCUUAGUAGAAUUAAUAAAAAUAAACAAAAAAAAAAAAAUCGAACGCGUAGAGGAUUAAAAAUAAUAAAAAAAUACACAAAAUCAUCAGAACAUAAUAUGCGACUGGUAUUAUAUACUGAUAUUAUUAUGAUUAAUAUAUAAAUGUUGGUGAUGGGACAUGUGUUUUGAUAAUAUAGUUAUGACAGUAAAAAUUAAUCAAAAAAAAAAAAAUAAUAAUAAUAGACUUAAGUGACGGAGGAUGGAUGCGUUGAAAACCGAGGCAAUUCGAACGAUUAUAAUAUAUUGACCCGUUAUCCCUUUAUAAGUUGGCUACAAGUAAAAAAAAAAAAAAAACCAGAAUCAUCGAUUAUCGCGCACUAAUACCUAUACAACUACAGCGAACAUAAGAAAAAGAAAUACAAAAAUCAUAUUUUCAUAACCUCCGAAAUUAUAGUAGCCCAGAGUGACUGCUAUAUGUUGUAACCUUUCAAAAACAAAAAAACGCUCAUACCUAUUUCCAUUGACGUUUUCUAUAAUGAAAUCAAAAAACAAAGAUUUUUACGCGUAAUCAUAAUAAUAUAAUUAUAUUUAAAUAUAUUUUUUUUAAAUUUCCAUAAUAUAUAAUAUUUGUCUAUAUAUAUAUAUAUAUAUAUAUAUAUAUAUAUAUAUAUAUAUAUACACGUUUAUUAUUGGAGAUCAAGAAUACAUUUAUGACGCGUAAAUUAUUAUAUUAUUUUACUAUACUAUUUUUUGACUCGAAUAAUUAUAUUUAAUUUUUUUAUUAUUAUUAUUUUUUAAUUGUGAACGAGCGAAAAUCAAAAAAAAGUAAUACUAAUACUAAAACGAAAAAAAAAAAAAAAAACAAAUAAUUUCUACGCGAUUAUUAUAAUAUGAUCAUCGAUCAACAAUAAAUUGUAGCCCACGUGCGUAUUCGAGAGAUCUAUACGAUAUCCGACUAUAUAUCAGACUAAUAUAAUAAUUAUCGUGCAUAACAACACGUAAACGUAAUUUGUACAAUAUUAUUAAAACAAAGUUUGCGAAUUGAAUCCGUGCACACGGGUAGAAUGAAAUAUUAUAUGUAUUAUGUAACCGAGUGGGAGAAUAAACGAACAAUUUUUUUUUUUUUUUUUUAUGAAAUUUGACGUUGUUUUGGUGGGUUUUUACUUUUCCGCAGCGUAUUACAUAAUAAUAAUAAUAAUAUAAACAGGAGAUCAUACAAAAAAUAAUGUCAAAUAGAAUAAACAAUAUUAUUUAAGAAUCUUAAAACGCUAAGGAAAUAAUAAUAAAAAAAAAUAAUAUUAUUAUUGUUUACCGAAAUAUAAUUAUAACAUAAUUGCUUAUUUACUAUAAAAAAAAAAAAAAAACGGGAAAGCGACACCCCGGUGACGUCGUAUCCGUUUUACAAACGCACGGCGACGCGACAUUAUUAUCAAUUAUUCCCGUUCAACCGCAAUAUUAUCUGGAAACUCAAGAGGCGUGGGAAUUGUCCGCUUGACGUUCUGCAACUGUCGAUGUUUCGACGGUUUUUGAACGACGUGAUACGCAAAUAGCGUUUUUUUUUUUUUUUUAAAUAUAAUCCGUGAUCUUGUUUCGCGUACGCCGGAAAACACGGAAGUGUCGAAUAAAACCCGCGCACCCGCAACACACAAACCUUACACCAAUCACGUUCUCGCGCCUUUGAGACCGAUUACAAUAUCACGGCCGAUUUAAAAUCAAAAAAGCGAAAAGCGAAAAAUCGGGACCGGCGAACGCGAAUUAACUGCUACGUCGCCGUCGUGCGUUCGUGGUAACGGCACGCCCCUGUUGACCGUUUAUGCAAACCCGUAGACAACAUUUUCUAAAACUAUUUAUCACAUAUUUAUUGUUAUUAUUAUUUUAUUGUAUUUUUUUUCCGUGCUAUUUGCAGUAACAAAAUAAUAUUCGUCGUCAUACAAAAUAUAAUAAAUUUGGUCGGAGUGGCGAAGAAAACAUUUGACCGCGCGACUAUACUCUCGUUCGCUGGCCGUCGCCACUUAGUGGACUAAACCAAAGAAAAAAAAAACCGUAAUAAUUAAUAAUAAUAAAUAAAACCGGAAAAAAAAAAAUAAUAAUGAGUAUACACAUUACGCUUAUCAACUAAAAUGAAUAAUAAAAGAAAAACAAGUAAAAUAAUCGUAUUGAUAUAAUAAUAUUAUAAAGUGAGAAAAAAAAAAAAAAAAACUAAAAAUCGUUUUCUAUACAAUAACGUUUGGA
Cinara cedri is the source of this 2586-nucleotide non-coding RNA. Lineage: Eukaryota; Metazoa; Arthropoda; Insecta; Hemiptera; Aphididae. The record is from the annotation of a GenBank genome assembly.